GGAGUCUGGGCCGUAUCUCAGUCCCAAUGUGGCCGUUCAACCUCUCAGUCCGGCUACUGAUCGCAGUCUUGGUAGGCCGUUACCCUGCCAACUAACUAAUCAGAUAUGAGCCCAUCUUUCAGCGGAUUGCUCCUUUGGUACAUCGAAGAUGCCUUCAACGUACAUUAUGCGGUAUUAGCAGUCGUUUCCAACUGUUGUCCCCCU
This 204-nucleotide ribosomal RNA is filed under the name uncultured Oscillospiraceae bacterium. Its description in RNAcentral is "partial 16S ribosomal RNA". The record is from RNAcentral. Lineage: Bacteria; Bacillati; Bacillota; Clostridia; Eubacteriales; Oscillospiraceae.